This 256-nucleotide ribosomal RNA is filed under the name uncultured bacterium. RNAcentral describes it as "partial 16S ribosomal RNA". It matches the Rfam family "Bacterial small subunit ribosomal RNA", at positions 521 to 776 of the family's 1533-position model. The record is from RNAcentral.
UAAUACGAAGGGUGCAAGCGUUGUUCGGAAUUAUUGGGCGUAAAGAGUGAUAAGGCGGAUCUUCAAGUCAGGUGUGAAAUCUCGGGGCCUAACCCCGAAAGUGCGCCUGAAACUAGAGAUCUGGAGUGAUGCAGGGGAGAGGGGAAUUUCACGUGUAGGGGUAAAAUCCGUAGAGAUGUGAAGGAACACCUGAGGCGAAGGCGCCUCUCUGGGCAUUUACUGACGCUGAUUCACGAAAGCGUGGGGAGCAAACAGG